GGAAUAAGGGAUAGUUGCGUAGCGUUGACACUUAUCACAUGAGUGAGAUAUUCUAAUGGCAUCUUGGUGGAGUGUUGGCUAAUAGUAUCCUUGGCGAAAAGUCUUGUGUGCUAAGGAUCGAGACCCAGCAUGAUCUCCGCAGACUCCUUCAUGUAUUUCCCGAAGGACAAUUUCCGCCUCCGCAGGUGUAAGGCAUCUUAGGUAGGGCAGGGUAAAACCACGCUUGUAGAGUUGGUCAUUAAUGAUCAGGUAACGAGCAGACUUGUAUCGAAUCUGCUUAGCUUGGGCUUUGUCAUUUGGGAGGGUGCCAUGGGCAAGGAAUUUAUAAAUUGGGGUGAUCCAACUAUCUCCUUGUUGUAAAUUGCACACUUCCGCGACCAUGGUGCUUGGUGCUGCCAACAAUUCGACAUGAAUUUUUCUCCCAAUCUUGUCUUCCACUACCGAGGCGAGGCGGG
RNAcentral lists this long non-coding RNA (455 nucleotides) under Malus domestica (apple). RNAcentral describes it as "long non-coding RNA (MDOM_LNC016591)". The record is from RNAcentral. Lineage: Eukaryota; Viridiplantae; Streptophyta; Magnoliopsida; Rosales; Rosaceae.